ACACAAGCAAUAGAUAAUCCCACACCUGCCAAUCCCUAAGAAGAAAAACACACACACAAUGCCACCGCUAACAACAAAAACAAAACAAAACACUUCCCCCCAGGAACUAGCAAUCACUGGUCAUUAUUAUUCCUUUAUAUCAGUGGGCUCAAUUUGCCUAUAAAAGACACAGGCUAUCAGAUUGGAUGUGCAAACAAAUCUGUCCUUCUGCUGUAUACAAGAAGCACACCUCAACUACAAAGACAGAUGUCACCUCAGAGUAAAGGGGUGGGAAAAUAUUUUCCAAUCAAGGGGACUAAAGAAACAAGCUCAGAAAUAGAUUUCAAACUAAAAGUAGCAAAAGAGAUGCAUUCUUCAUUUUAAAUUUUCUGAAUGUGGAUGCCUAAUGGAAGGACCCUUGCACUGGAUUAUGGAAAGGACCCGAUCCUGUUUUAAUAUGGGGUUGUGGGCAUGUUCGUGUUUUCUCAAAGGGAGAAUACAAGGCUCAAUGGCUGCCAGAACAUCUGGUGAGGUGUGUGGAGCAGAAGAAUGCCAGACCUGAUGAUACUGUGACUGCUGGAGCACUGACCCCAAACAAAUUCGAAUGAGAUCUACUGAAGCUGUGCUCCUGCCCCUUUGAUGUCAUCGUUCUGCAGUCUGAGAAGGGAAGGAGGCUACACUUGGAGAUUUCCAGUUUUUCAACAAACCUGCUGCAUCAACUUCCCAGAAGUCUGUGAGUUUUUAUCCUGGAUCUAGCCAAGGACUGAAUGUCUAGCAGUUUAUACACACUGCAUCUUGGGACAUAGAACUCAUUUUUGCCAGUUGAAACUCAUUUCUGCUGUUACCUCAGAGACUUCCCCUUUUCGGGAAAAUGAUUCACUAGAACAAGUGAACACUAUUAUGGGGGUUAUAGAUGGCUAAAGCCCCUCUUCAGUAUGAGAGGUGCAGUUGGACACAAGGAUUGCUGCUGGUAUUCCGUAUCUCAAACUGUGGAAAUUAAAAGCAGCAAUGCAUUGGACUGUAAGAGGGGAAAAAAAAGGUUCAGAAUUGUGGAGUUACUCACAUUUCACCCACCAUGAGAACACUGUAUUGUCCUUUGACUGAAUUGAGAUUAUGAGAUUGUAAUCUAGCUGAUUAUGUGUCUGUUGUUAAUAAUCAUAUUGGAAUUCUUAAUGUUUGCAACCUUUGCUAUGCUAUGUAAAUGCUAAUGGAUAGAAAAAUGUCAGUGCUCAUUCUGAUAGGAAUUUGACAUGAUGCUAAUGAGUCAUUUGAUACAAUGCAACUAAGAAGGCAGAUUUUGAUACCUCAACCAAUUUAAAAAGGCCAUUUCAUCUUGAUAAUCCUCUAUUCCUUUAAUAGGAGAUACUGUAGCCAUAAAAGCAUAUGUAUUGCUUAGUAUGAUCAAGCUUCUUGUGAACUUUCGAUGAAAAGUUGUCUCAGAGGUGCAUGGCAUCAAGCUAUGCACUUUCUCCUAACCUUUAUUACUACAGAGGCUGGUAGUCAAAGACGGGUAAAACCUUUUUGCCUCCAGGAGACCUAAGACAGGUCACACAUGGCAGCAAUGUGUUCCAAUGACGGGUAAAUCUGGAAGGUGAAAGAAGACAACCUAAGACAGACAGCCGUCUGUCCUGUGGCAGAAGCACAGGUAUUACUUAAUUAUAUUUAGAAGGGGGAAUUGUCAGGGCCCAUAAAAAUGGCUUCACUUCAUCUUAGCUUAUGGUCAGAGAGUUCGAAACUAUCCUUAGUCUUUCAAGGUUAAAGUCAUAAGACCUAAAGUUCUAAGGUGUGACUAUUGCAGGAUGUUUGGUCUUAGUCAUGGAUGUCUUAGCUAAAUAACAAGAGACCUGGCCUAAGGUCUGGUUACUCUUAACCCCCACGGCCAGAUAACAAGAAAUUUAAUCUAAGGUGUGGUUACCAAAUGUUUGGAGAAUUAAGGAAGGAGUCUUUUGCCAUGAUCCACUUUUUUGUUGGGGUACUUGAGAAUGUCGAAGAAUAAACUUGGGGCAUUCAGUAUUCUUUGGAUUUCCCUCCUGACUCUAUUCUGUGUCUGUGUCUUUUCCUUAAUGUCUUUACCUGCCAUGUCUCAAUUCACACUCCCAUUCUCAGGUACAAACAGGGAUUAAUACAGACUGGCACCACAAAGAUGGGAAAUGACACCUUUCUCUGGUCCAAAGGCAAAAGUUGAUAGUAUGUGCGGAAAAUGUCCUCCAUAGCUUUCUCCCCUCAGGUGUUUACAGCCUGAAGACUGCUCCCCUAGAGAGAUUGCUCCUGUCUACAUUAGCUAAACCUGACUCCUUGUCCAGCUGCAUGCAACAACCCCACCUCCUUGUUCAACUGUAUACAACAAAAACACUGAGCUACCAGGGCAUUCUGCUUCUUCAACAGAGAGCCUAGACCACCCUCCCCAAGUUUCCUAUGUCUGUGUGUCUUUCCUAUCUUGAAUCCUUCACCACCCCAGUCAGAUAAAAUCCAUGGAACUGUGCAGAGCACAGAAGCAGAAGCAAUUGAAGGCAAUAUAAUAUUCAGGUUGUUAUUUAACAUAAUCAUUACUCACUGCUUUAAGUUAGGUUUUCAAUGAAGACAGGAAUCAAAACGUUAGAGAGAUUGAAAAGCAUACAGUUUGACCAUGAAAAUGGUGUUUACUAUGGACAAUGCAAACAUUGACAAAGAAUCUCUGAUUGCUAAGGGGUUCUUAGCAUUAAAGAGAAUUCAUGCAUUCCACCCUGGAGCAGUAGAAAAGAUGUGCUGACAGCAGGAAUCCUCCCACCAGAACUUUCGGCCAGGACACAGCAACAGUGCCUCACCACGCCACGCAGCUGGCAGGGGAAGGACUCGACCAGGAGCUGGUAGCCCUGGGCUGCUUCCACACCAUGCCAUGCAGGUGUCAGAGACAGGACUCAACUAGAAGCCGCCCAGGGACCCUAGCUCCUGACCACAGCACUGCAGAAGCAGAAGCUCAGCACCACGCCGCGAGACACAGGGACAGGACUCAGCUAGAAGCUGCCUGGGAUUCACGCAGGGACACAGAAAGAGCAACAGAUCAGAGCCAUGCCGUGCAUCUGGAGGGAGCAGGACUCCACCAAGUGCUGCCUGGUGCCUAAGCCACCAGGCAGUCAGACACCAUUAAGGGAACUUUGUGAACCAGUCCUAAGAACAGACGAGCUGACACCCCUCUCCCCCACCUUACAUGCCUCUGACGGCGCCUUGCCUGGGAAAGUCAGUUGAGCUGGCCUUGGUGGUGUGAGUGGGGACCAGCCAGGCCUGAGGGCCUGAGAGCAAGAGAAGUGGUCCUGCUCAUUGCUGCAGGCCGCGUUGGGUGGGUUGGCCUAGGCAGUGCUGGAGAGCUCACCUGGGUGAUGACUUUGGGGGAGAUCUGGUGGCCUGUCCAGCUCAGCUACCGCUCAGGACCAGGACCAGGGCUACGAGGUGACCCACCCCGACAUCUGCCUCAUCUGUGAACUAUUGGAGCAGGUGAAGGGGACGAACCUACAGAUCCCAAAACAGCAGGAUCCCCAUGACACGGGACAACAACAGAAUGUCGAAGGGAGCCCCUGUGAGAGUCCAUUACUGAUGGUGUAUCAGGAGCCAGAGGCUUCAAAUCAGACCAGUGCCUCACGGCAAAGAACACUGACAACUGAAGACAAAAGGACUAAGGGGCCAACUGUGUAACUCAGUGGGUCGCACGACAGCCUUCACUAGAUUCUUCCCCUUUUUGUUGUUUGUUUUUGUUUAUUUUCUUUUUUUGGUUUGUUGUUUUGUUUUGGGUUUCUUUUAAAUUGUGUUUUGUUUGGGGAGUGUUGCAAGGGCAGAGGGCAGAUGUGGGGGACAGAGAGAUGGGUGAGAACUGAUGCAUUAUGUGAAAUAUGAAAAAAAUCAGUAAAAGUUAAAAUAAAACACACACACAAAAGGAUCCUUCCAAUAAGGGAUCGAAGGUCUGUAAUCACAUUGGAAAGCUUUCCUUUAAAGAGCUGUUCUUAGCUCA
Molecule: long non-coding RNA, 3961 nt
Organism: Mesocricetus auratus (golden hamster)
Lineage: Eukaryota; Metazoa; Chordata; Mammalia; Rodentia; Cricetidae
Exons: 2
Source: RefSeq, a predicted model, not a curated record